Molecule: ribosomal RNA, 441 nt
Filed under: uncultured bacterium
Lineage: Bacteria
Description: partial 16S ribosomal RNA
Rfam family: Bacterial small subunit ribosomal RNA
Source: RNAcentral
CCUACGGGAGGCAGCAGUGGGGGAUAUUGCACAAUGGGGGGAACCCUGAUGCAGCGACGCCGCGUGGGUGAAGGAGUGCUUCGGCAUGUAAAGCCCUAUCGGCAGGGAAGAAGCAAGACGGUACCUGACUCAGACGCCCCGGCUAACUACGUGCCAGCAGCCGCGGUAAUCCGUAGGGGGCGAGCGUUAUCCGGAUUCACUGGGUGGACAGGGAGCGUAGACGGCCAAGCAAGCCAGGGGUGAAAGCCCGGGGCCCAACCCCGGGACUGCCCUUGGAAUUGCAUGGCUGGAGUGCGGGAGGGGAGGGCGGAAUUCCUGGUGUAGCGGUGAAAUGCGUAGAUAUCAGGAGGAACACCGGCGGCGAAGGCGGCCUGCUGGACCGCGACUGACGUUGAGGCUCGAAAGCGUGGGGAGCGAACAGGAUUAGAUACCCGAGUAGUC